RNAcentral lists this ribosomal RNA (598 nucleotides) under Isoptericola sp. Its description in RNAcentral is "bacterial SSU rRNA". It matches the Rfam family "Bacterial small subunit ribosomal RNA", at positions 280 to 886 of the family's 1533-position model. Lineage: Bacteria; Bacillati; Actinomycetota; Actinomycetes; Micrococcales; Promicromonosporaceae. The record is from RNAcentral.
CGGGUAGCCGGCCUGAGAGGGCGACCGGCCACACUGGGACUGAGACACGGCCCAGACUCCUACGGGAGGCAGCAGUGGGGAAUAUUGCACAAUGGGCGAAAGCCUGAUGCAGCGACGCCGCGUGAGGGAUGACGGCCUUCGGGUUGUAAACCUCUUUCAGCAGGGAAGAAGGCUUCGGUUGACGGUACCUGCAGAAGAAGCGCCGGCUAACUACGUGCCAGCAGCCGCGGUAAUACGUAGGGCGCAAGCGUUGUCCGGAAUUAUUGGGCGUAAAGAGCUCGUAGGCGGUCUGUCGCGUCUGGUGUGAAAUCCCGAGGCUCAACCUCGGGCUUGCAUCGGGUACGGGCAGACUAGAGUGCGGUAGGGGAGACUGGAAUUCCUGGUGUAGCGGUGGAAUGCGCAGAUAUCAGGAGGAACACCGAUGGCGAAGGCAGGUCUCUGGGCCGCAACUGACGCUGAGGAGCGAAAGCAUGGGGAGCGAACAGGAUUAGAUACCCUGGUAGUCCAUGCCGUAAACGUUGGGCACUAGGUGUGGGGCUCAUUCCACGAGUUCCGCGCCGCAGCUAACGCAUUAAGUGCCCCGCCUGGGGAGUACGGA